This 3833-nucleotide long non-coding RNA is filed under the name Xyrichtys novacula (pearly razorfish). The record is from RNAcentral. Lineage: Eukaryota; Metazoa; Chordata; Actinopteri; Labriformes; Labridae.
GCACAUUCACAUCUAUACAAGUUAUGUUUUGUCAAUAUGUCUCUGUGCAUAUUAGAUGUGUAUUGCAUGUGUGUAAUUCUGUUGCAGACUGAGGCAGCUUCACAGAGGUUGAAGAUUAACUAGUCACAGUUUGUAAUUAGAUUUGAAGGAUCUGAUAACCUUUGAGUUUGAUCAAACAUGGAUGCUGAGCUAUUUACAAUCUGUUUGAUAUUGUCUGCAGACUUCACUAACAUAUCAUAAAAAAGAUAAGAAGAACUUUAUUGAUCCCAGAAGGGAGAUUCAACAUGUGCACAGCUUUGAAGGGUUACAAUUAAAUCUAUUUAUCUCACUGUGAUUGAGUUUUAUUUGUGUUUAGUUUUUUGUGAACCUGUACUCUUUUGAGUGGUUUUGAACCGCAAUAGAUUUAUUUUGAAUGUGUAUACCCCCUACAUUUUGCAUUGCAUCAAGUACUGAGUAAAAACAAAAACACUACACUGCAAAAAUAUCAAAUCACACCAAGUGAAUUUAUCUGAAUUCUAGUCAAAAUACUGCACUAUACUUAAUUGAAGACAAGAACAUUGAGACGCUCCCUCAAAUGAGCAGUUAUUGCUAUCAUAAUGAUCCUCUGCACAGCCAGUCAGGACUCUUUUGUAGAAGGACCAUACAAAAUGCAAAAGAGACACUGUAAAAAUAUUUCAUAACUUCACCUUAGAGGGAUGCAGAAUCAAAAGCCAUUUCACAGAGUAAUAUUUUCAGUUUUAUUUCAACUAUUAACUUGAUUAUUGUGCUUUUGCAUAUCCGAAAGGGAAUAUUUUUACGAUCCCCAACCCCACCAGCAUGAGUUAAUGGUAUAUACUCAGGACCUGAAGAACAUUUCAAGUACAGUAAGGUUUCCCUUGGGUAAAAUAAGAGGCUGGUAGUUUUAUUUCUACUUGAGUAAAAUGUAAUCAGAGUAACUGUACUUUCGAUACUCCUCUCAUUUCUACACCUCCCUGAAAACACUAAAACAUACAAAUUAACAAAUAAGUGACACUGUGAUUCACCUUCUUGAUUUCUUAACCCUUUAAUGCCUAAAACCACAAAUUAUGGCCAGAAAAUUCAAAAUUUUUGGGAGCUGAAAUGUUUAUUUCACUUACUACUGAAAACCAGAGGACAUUUUUAACAUUUAUCGGACUGUAUUCAGGUGUUUUUUAGUAAUUUGUUGAUCAUAUUGAUUUGAUAGAAGUAAAUAAAAGUAUGUAUCAAAUAUGAUACAAAAGGCAAUAAAGGGACCAUGGCUGAGGAAUACAGCCUUACAUGGGGUGCACGCUAAAACUGCUAUGCCACUGAUGUCCUUAUUUGAAUACAAAGAAAACAAACAAUAAUUAUGUUGAUCUAAAACAUCCACAAACUAGUGACAAGGUUGCCCUAUGUCCUGCAUUGUCAAUCCCCAGAAGAGGUGGGCAUGGACAAUCUUCAGAGCCCCUGAAAUCGCAUAAUGUUCAAAGUUUUCCCUGGGCACAAGAUAACCUAUCAACACAAGAUAACUCUUUGUGCAUAAGUAAAAGUAGAGGAAAUGUAAACCACCUUGUGAACACAAGUAAUUAAAUUGUAGGUAUAAAACAAGUUUUUGUCUGAAUGAGUUAUUUAUCAAGUUUGCGCAGGUUUAUUAUCUUGUGCAUAUCAUUGAACUAUUUUGCACACACAUACAUAAAACAACUUAUGUGACAUCGGAGCCUGGGGGGAUUUCUUUUCAGAGGGUUCAAGCUGUGGGAACAAGUUAUUUUCUAGUGCACACAAGAUUGUGCACAGUAGAGAGAGGCAGGUUGAUAUCUUUGUAUGCAAGUUAAUCUGUGGUGUCCACAAGUUUAAGGUUUUAUGCACACAAGUGAUCCUCGUCUGCACACAGGGUAAGUUUCUCAAAUACAUUUUUGUCAUGUGAGCACAAGAUACUCUGUGUGCAUUUAUCAACCUUCAUAAGCAUGUCAUAUAUUUUUGAGAGUAGUUUAUCAUUUCAUACUUCCAAGGUAUCAUUUAACCAACACAAGAAGUUAUUUAUGAAGGAAUCAUUUUUAUCUUGGAGACAAAUUAAUAAUCUUUGUGCAUGAGUUUUAAACCUGUAGGAGUGGGAGUAAUUCCACUUGUCAUCAAGAAAACUGAGUUUUGCACAUUUACUAGUGUGAACAAGAUAUUUACCUAAACACACAUGAGAACUAUCUUCAGUGUAUGUGCAAGUUUGUGUCAUACAGGCCACUAUCCACAACACUGUAGAAAUAUUUACUUUAGGGCUCCAUCAUGCUGUUGAUUCCAAAAAUAACAGAAUCAGAUCAGCUCUCUAUCACAUUGAUAAAGCAAAAAAGUUAUUAUAGGAAUGAAAAUCUGUCUAUCAGCAUUAUGAUUAGUUUUUAUGUGGCAGCAGAGUCCUUGUUGGAGAUUUUCUGGGCACAGGAUGUUGUUUCAGAGACCUGCUGUUGGUGUUCAGAGAAUUACUCAGCAGCUCAGGAGGUUCAAAGAUGUCUACAGCUGUUUAAUAUUUUACCACUCAGGUUAUACAUUAUACCGGCUGUGAUUAAAUCAGAUUCCUUAAUACACAACUACAGUAUGUACACAUUUGUCAUGUGGGGGGAUGCUGGAUCAGUUAAAUCAUUGCUGAAAGUAGACAUCAGGUCUGCAGUAAAUCUGAUCUUAGUGCUCACUAACGUUCACCCAGAGGCCUAAUAUGUGGACUUUACACGUUGUGUCAGUCACAUCUCAUUCCUCAUUCUGCCUCAUUUCAUCUGCAAACACUUUCAGUGCUGUCCUGCAGAAAUAAAUGCAACAUGCAGCCGUGUGAAGACAAGAUGGCAGCUUCCUGAGCCAACUGAUGCUGCAAACCGUCCUCAGACAGAAGCGAACAGACUCAAAACCACAUUGUAGGAUACUCUUUGAAGUGUGUGUUUAUAGAUGUUAGGUAAAGCUGGAAAACAGAACAAGUUAUUGAUUGCAUGAGAAGAAAAGAAUUGAAUUUGAUAGGGGUGAAUAAAAAAAAAAUCACAAAGCUUUGAGAUGAGCACCUUUUAUUUUUGCAGAGAGAAAAAAAUUAAGAGUCAAAUGAUCACCUUUGAGAACUUUUUUUAAUGAAAACUUUUUACUGAUUGAAACAGCCUGAUGCGUUUCCCCUCUGAUCAUCUCUGAAGGAUGGAGCGGGUAGACAGGUGUGGCCUGCAUAAAGAGCUGCAUUUGCUACCUCUCUGCACUCCUUCAGUCUCUCUGAGUUCAGUAAUCAGAGCUGACAGGGGUGUUUUCUCUGUUUGGUUCAGACAAAGAUGUUGCAGAUAAAGCAGAGGUCAGAUUUCUCUCACUCAGGUCAGUGGGAUGUUGAGACACAAACAAGGAUCUGUAACAGACAUCACUACCACCCCAAUCUGUCCCUGCAAGACUUCCCAGGUGGGAAAACACCUGCAGGCUGUGAGACACCAUUAACGAAACAUGCCAUAACAAAUACAGAUUGCAAAACACACACAGUCUAAUGAUCAAGCCCUCAGUCUCACCUCAUAUAAAGGUCAUAUACAUUGCGUUGAUUUUCCUCUAGUCUCUUACUUUUUAAAUAUUGUAGUUUUUUUUUUAAACGCAACGUAUUUUAAUUCAAAGUAAUCAAUAAACCAAUCUUUGAAACUUAAAACUUGAGCAAAUUUUAGUUAAACGAACACAUUGCUAGGAUAUCGAAGCAUAAAAUACAGAAUAAAUAUAAAGGAUCACCAACAGUCCAAAGGGAUGUCUUCAUGUCCUUCUUUUGUUAAACCAACCGGUAUGUCUUCACCUUUAGAUGACAAAAGCAGGGUUAAAAAACUGCGGGGGAAAAUUACUUUAAAAAGGCCACGAUUUCUCUUUUAUCA